Molecule: ribosomal RNA, 460 nt
Filed under: uncultured bacterium
Lineage: Bacteria
Description: partial 16S ribosomal RNA
Rfam family: Bacterial small subunit ribosomal RNA
Source: RNAcentral
CCUACGGGUGGCAGCAGUGAGGAAUAUUGGUCAAUGGCCGGAAGGCUGAACCAGCCAUGCCGCGUGAAGGUCAGUGCCCUAUGGGCGUUAAACUUCUUUUGUGCGGGAGCAAUAAUGGUCACGUGUGGCCAGACGAGAGUACCGUACGAAUAAGCAUCGGCUAACUCCGUGCCAGCAGCCGCGGUAAUACGGGGGAUGCAAGCGUUAUACGGAUUUAUUGGGUUUAAAGGGUGCGUAGGCUGUGAGGUAAGUCAGCGGUGAAAUGCCCCCGCUCAACGGGGUGAAGUGCCAUUGAUACUGCCUGGCUGGAAUGCGGAUGCGGUGGGAGGAAUGUGUGGUGUAGCGGUGAAAUGCAUAGAUAUCACACAGAACACCGAUUGCGAAGGCAUCUCACGAAUCCGCGAUUGACGCUGAGGCACGAAAGCGUGGGUAUCAAACAGGAUUAGAUACCCCAGUAGUC